ACAGUGGGAGAAAAGCGGAAAAAAUGAAUCAUCAAGACGACACUGAUCCUUGGUUUUCUCAAAGGCCACAAGCGCCCCCUUGGGAUGCAGCAGAGUACAAUCAACUCAUUUUCGCAGGGCCAUUGCUGCCACUACUAGAGUAGUAUGCGAACAUCAGUUCUUAUAACACAACCGCACACACAUGGAUACCACGGCAAGUUCCAACACAGGGCGCUAACGCUGAUAGAUGUACGGGAGACCAACUUAUAGUAGCCAAUGUGGCAAAUCAAGGACCAUCAUGCAGCACGUGGCAACAGGCGGCAACCGGGUACUUGCCAUCAACGUCGUACACAGGUGAGUCGUAUGAAGUGAUUUUGUGGAUAGUGAAUCACAAAAAGGAACACAGGUGACAUUGGUGUUUACGCGGUGUCAAGACAAAACACAGUUUGAUGAGGACAUCAAUACCAUUGUUACACCCACAACCCCUAUUGUUACAUAUACUGGACCAAUUACUAGAGC
Molecule: long non-coding RNA, 498 nt
Organism: Triticum dicoccoides
Lineage: Eukaryota; Viridiplantae; Streptophyta; Magnoliopsida; Poales; Poaceae
Exons: 3
Source: RefSeq, a predicted model, not a curated record